RNAcentral lists this ribosomal RNA (720 nucleotides) under uncultured bacterium. RNAcentral's name for it is "bacterial SSU rRNA". It matches the Rfam family "Bacterial small subunit ribosomal RNA", at positions 412 to 1127 of the family's 1533-position model. The record is from RNAcentral.
AGGCCUGCGGGUUGUAAAGCACUUUCAGUAGAGAAGAAAAGCCUACGGUUAAUACCCGUGAGUCUUGACGUAACCUACAGAAGAAGCACCGGCUAACUCCGUGCCAGCAGCCGCGGUAAUACGGAGGGUGCGAGCGUUAAUCGGAAUUACUGGGCGUAAAGCGCGCGUAGGCGGCUUUGUAAGUCGGAUGUGAAAGCCCAGGGCUUAACCUUGGAAUUGCAUUCGAUACUGCAGAACUAGAGUAUGGUAGAGGGAAGUGGAAUUUCCGGUGUAGCGGUGAAAUGCGUAGAUAUCGGAAGGAACACCAGUGGCGAAGGCGACUUCCUGGGCCAAUACUGACGCUGAGGUGCGAAAGCGUGGGGAACAAACAGGAUUAGAUACCCUGGUAGUCCACGCCGUAAACGAUGAGAACUAGAUGUCGGGAGGAUUUGCCUUUCGGUGUCGCAGCUAACGCAUUAAGUUCUCCGCCUGGGGAGUACGCCGGCAACGGUAAAACUCAAAGGAAUUGACGGGGACCCGCACAAGCGGUGGAGCAUGUGGUUUAAUUCGAUGCAACGCGAAGAACCUUACCUGCCCUUGACAUUGACAGAACCCUGUAGAGAUACGGGGGUGCUUCGGCCUGGAAAACAGGUGCUGCAUGGCUGUCGUCAGCUCGUGUCGUGAGAUGUUGGGUUAAGUCCCGCAACGAGCGCAACCCUUGUCCUUAGUUGCCAGCACUUC